GGGGAACCAGAAAAGGGGAGAAAUCAGAGAGGAGGGGGGAUUUUGGAAAGCAGAACAGAGGAAGGGCGACUAGUGCUUGCAGAGAGAAAAAAUUGAAAAUUUUGAAGCUGGGAGCUGCGAGUCUGUUUUCUACAAACUCUUUUAGCCAUUAUUGUUAAAAAGGUUUUUCAUUUUUGGAUUUCUUCUCUACAUUUGUCAACCCAAUACGUAAUCCAUUAUUUUAGGUUUAGCCAUUUGAUAACUGUUGGAAAGUUCUAAAUUUUUUUUCUCAUUCAUCUCUAUUUGUUAUGUUUCCCUUUCAUUCUAGAAAAAUAUAUCGUGGAGACUAAUAUGUGGUCUUGUCUUAUGAGAUUUUGAUAUUAAAAAUGCAGAGGGAUUUGAAUCUUCUUUGAAGGUUGAUUAUGUGUUGUCGUUUUAUUUACUUAUGUAUGGCUUUUAGAAAUAGUUGUGCGUUACUCUUAUGCAAUCAUAUACCAUUAGGAGUUCGGGUCAGUAUAGAGUCUUCCUGAUGAAAUACGAGAUUUGAUGAAGGUCAGUAUCAUUUCACUGUUAUGUGUUCUUAACUCUCCGUUUGGGAAGAGCGAGAGUAAAGUAAGGUUAUCAAGUAAAGUUUUUUAAAGCAAGAUUUUUUAUGGUUUUCAAAUAUUCAUAAUUUUUUUAGUGUUUGAGAGAAAAGAAAGGAUUUUUUUAAGUAUUUGAAUGUUUUAAAGAGAAAUCCAUUAAUUUGGUUUAGUGGGUUGAAAAAUGAAGGUUUUUGGAGGUUUUUAAAAACUUUCAAAAAUCAUAUUUUAAAAAACCUUCUAUCCUCUCAAACAAAACUUUAAAGUUUUUAAACCUCUAAAAACCUUCAAUUACCUUAAAAAACCCCUUCCCAAAUAAAGGGUGAUCGUCAAGUUUUCUUAAAUCAAGAUAUUCAUUUCUUCUACAGUUGCUAAAAUUUGUCAAGCAUCAACAAACUUCAGUGGGACUUUUUCCUCGUACUGUUUGGGUUCAGUUAUAGAAGGAUAUAUGUACAACUGUUCCAUUUUCAGUAAUUCUAGUCAUUUAUUAUGCCUUUUUACUGGACUGAUAUUGUAGUCUCCUAUAAAUUGCACAGCCGAAUAUUCAAUUGCAUACAACAUAGCUUGUCUGAUUACAGUCUUAUAGAAACACUCAUUAUUUCUUGGACUUUCACAAUGUUAAACUGAACAGAUUGUUCUGCAUUCUUUGGUUCUAUUUCAUUGGCUACUAUACAUCUUAGUUUGACCCAAUCUCAUUAAAAAAAUGAUAGAGGAAAGAAUUGCUUGUGAAGACGGGUUCAAAAAAUGGCAAGGGAAAGCUUUUGACUGCUAGAACCACUAAAAAACUAUCACCACUGGAGGUGAAAAAAACUGUGCAGUUUAGUCAGCGUGUUGCAGGUACUAAUAAUUCGGCAGGAGCUGAUAGCAAGCAGAUAGUUCCUGAAAGGAAGACAGCAGCAAUAAAUGUUCCAAAUAGUUUCCUUUUGCAGCCUAGAGAGGUUCAAUCAGCGCUGCACCACAGAUAUAAUUCUCAUUCUGUAUUAUCUCUCAGCAGAGGAAAUGAAGUGCCCAAAUCAUCUUAUAGCUGUUUCAAGGACAUGCCUCCAAUAUUUGAUGACAUCACACCUAUGCCACCAAGACUGAAUAGGCAACAGAGUGCUGCUUCCAGUCCAUGGAAGGGUUCAGUAGACAGCGAAGAAAAAGUAGCAGAUGAUGUAGAGAAAUUUGAAACUGCUUUUUCUGGUGAUACUACUGCUGCAAAUGAGGAUGAUAGUGACUCUGAUGCAUUGCCCGAUACGGAUGACUAUGAUUCGGAAGCAAGUCCAGGGAGGCAGGGAGCCCUGAGAGUUGCAAGAAGAGCAAAUGGUUCAAGAAAUUUCUUGAGGGAUUGGAAUAUUUAGGUACAGAGGAGAUCAUUGACCCAGCUAGACAGUGGCACUGUCCUUCAUGUCAAGGAGUUGCAGGUGCCAUCAAACGGUACUUAGGCCUGCAGACCCUGAUGAAGCAUGCCAAAACCAAAGGGUCAAGAAGGUUGAGGCUCCACAGAGAGCUUGCACAACUGUUGGAAGAGAAGUUGCAUGUUAGUCAGGCAACUUCUGCUGCUCUAGGUGAUGAAGCAUGUGGCAAGUGGAAAGGUCCAAAAGAAGAAAAGAAACAUCAUGAGAUAGUUUGGCCUCCUAUGGUUGUUGUUGCAAAUACAACCCACAAAAAGGAUGAGAACAAUA
Molecule: unclassified non-coding RNA, 2224 nt
Filed under: Hevea brasiliensis (rubber tree)
Lineage: Eukaryota; Viridiplantae; Streptophyta; Magnoliopsida; Malpighiales; Euphorbiaceae
Source: RNAcentral